This 514-nucleotide ribosomal RNA is filed under the name Alternaria alternata. RNAcentral's name for it is "eukaryotic LSU rRNA". The stretch from base 172 to 325 matches the Rfam family "5.8S ribosomal RNA". The record is from RNAcentral. Lineage: Eukaryota; Fungi; Ascomycota; Dothideomycetes; Pleosporales; Pleosporaceae.
AUCAUUACACAAAUAUGAAGGCGGGCUGGACUUCUCGGGGUUACAGCCUUGCUGAAUUAUUCACCCUUGUCUUUUGCGUACUUCUUGUUUCCUUGGUGGGUUCGCCCACCACUAGGACAAACAUAAACCUUUUGUAAUUGCAAUCAGCGUCAGUAACAAAUUAAUAAUUACAACUUUCAACAACGGAUCUCUUGGUUCUGGCAUCGAUGAAGAACGCAGCGAAAUGCGAUAAGUAGUGUGAAUUGCAGAAUUCAGUGAAUCAUCGAAUCUUUGAACGCACAUUGCGCCCUUUGGUAUUCCAAAGGGCAUGCCUGUUCGAGCGUCAUUUGUACCCUCAAGCUUUGCUUGGUGUUGGGCGUCUUGUCUCUAGCUUUGCUGGAGACUCGCCUUAAAGUAAUUGGCAGCCGGCCUACUGGUUUCGGAGCGCAGCACAAGUCGCACUCUCUAUCAGCAAAGGUCUAGCAUCCAUUAAGCCUUUUUUUCAACUUUUGACCUCGGAUCAGGUAGGGAUACC